RNAcentral lists this ribosomal RNA (497 nucleotides) under uncultured bacterium. RNAcentral describes it as "partial 16S ribosomal RNA". It matches the Rfam family "Bacterial small subunit ribosomal RNA", at positions 28 to 507 of the family's 1533-position model. The record is from RNAcentral.
GAUGAACGCUGGCGGCGUGCCUAAUACAUGCAAGUCGAGCGAACGGACGAGAAGCUUGCUUCUCUGAUGUUAGCGGCGGACGGGUGAGUAACACGUGGAUAACCUACCUAUAAGACUGGGAUAACUUCGGGAAACCGUAGCUAAUACCGGAUAAUAUUUUGAACCGCAUGGUUCAAAAGUGAAAGACGGUCUUUCUGUCACUUAUAGAUGGAUCCGCGCUGCAUUAGCUAGUUGGUAAGGUAACGGCUUACCAAGGCAACGAUGCAUAGCCGACCUGAGAGGGUGAUCGGCCACACUGGAACUGAGACACGGUCCAGACUCCUACGGGAGGCAGCAGUAGGGAAUCUUACGCAAUGGGCGAAAGCCUGACGGAGCAACGCCGCGUGAGUGAUGAAGGUCUUCGGAUCGUAAAACUCUGUUAUUAGGGAAGAACAUAUGUGUAAGUAACUGUGCACAUCUUGACGGUACCUAAUCAGAAAGCCACGGCUAACUACGUG